CAGCAGCCGCGGUAAUACAGAGGAUGCAAGCGUUAUCCGGAAUGAUUGGGCGUAAAGCGUCUGUAGGUGGCUUUUCAAGUCCGCCGUCAAAUCCCAGGGCUCAACCCUGGACAGGCGGUGGAAACUACCAAGCUAGAGUACGGUAGGGGCAGAGGGAAUUUCCGGUGGAGCGGUGAAAUGCGUUGAGAUCGAAAAGAACACCAACGGCGAAAGCACUCUGCUGGGCCGACACUGACACUGAGAGACGAAAGCUAGGGGAGCAAAUGGGAUUAGAUACCCCAGUAGUCCCUGUCUCUUAUAC
Molecule: ribosomal RNA, 301 nt
Filed under: uncultured bacterium
Lineage: Bacteria
Description: partial 16S ribosomal RNA
Rfam family: Bacterial small subunit ribosomal RNA
Source: RNAcentral